GCUGAAAUCAAGAUGCUAAGGUGGAU
RNAcentral lists this small RNA (26 nucleotides) under Bombyx mori (domestic silkworm). RNAcentral's name for it is "ovarian small RNA-17113". The record is from RNAcentral. Lineage: Eukaryota; Metazoa; Arthropoda; Insecta; Lepidoptera; Bombycidae.